RNAcentral lists this ribosomal RNA (396 nucleotides) under Triticum aestivum (bread wheat). RNAcentral's name for it is "partial small subunit ribosomal RNA". The record is from RNAcentral. Lineage: Eukaryota; Viridiplantae; Streptophyta; Magnoliopsida; Poales; Poaceae.
AUGGACCGCUUCCUCCCUGCGGCUAACUCCAUCGCCAGGCCGUCCACGGAGAAGCGCGCCAAUAAAUCCCCGCGCCGCGCCGCGCGUCGCUCUGAGCACGAUGACGACGAGGCACCGGCAACGGCCAGGCUCGAGAUGCACAUGCCACGCCGCAAGCGCCACGUCCCCACUCUCCAGCAGGAGGAUGAGAGCUGGAAUGGCAUGCCACCGCAGGAGAUAGCGUGGCGCCACGAGGAGGAGGCGCGAGGCGACGAGACACCUCCGAGGUCGUGCGGGUUCACAGUGCUCUUUCCUUGCUGCGUCAAGCCGGUGCUGUGCGGGUUCCGUGGAGCCCGGCGUGCCCGCGGGCCACGCGCACCUCCCCUCGCCGGAGCACCACGAUGGGCGACGUCCUAG